RNAcentral lists this transfer RNA (86 nucleotides) under Polytoma uvella. RNAcentral describes it as "tRNA-Leu". It matches the Rfam family "tRNA". From Rfam's summary of the family: Transfer RNA (tRNA) molecules are approximately 80 nucleotides in length. Their secondary structure includes four short double-helical elements and three loops (D, anti-codon, and T loops). Further hydrogen bonds mediate the characteristic L-shaped molecular structure. tRNAs have two regions of fundamental functional importance: the anti-codon, which is responsible for specific mRNA codon recognition, and the 3' end, to which the tRNAs corresponding amino acid is attached (by aminoacyl-tRNA synthetases). tRNAs cope with the degeneracy of the genetic code in two manners: having more than one tRNA (with a specific anti-codon) for a particular amino acid; and 'wobble' base-pairing, i.e. permitting non-standard base-pairing at the 3rd anti-codon position. Lineage: Eukaryota; Viridiplantae; Chlorophyta; Chlorophyceae; Chlamydomonadales; Chlamydomonadaceae. The record is from RNAcentral.
GGGGUAAUGGCGGAACAGGUAGACGCUGCGGACUUAAAAUCCGUUGACUCUUAAAAGUCGUGAGGGUUCGAGUCCCUCUUUCCCCA